RNA transcript from Haliaeetus leucocephalus (bald eagle), 7503 nucleotides. It is a transcript of the gene named zinc finger protein 236, with no coding region annotated. The record is from RefSeq and is a predicted model, not a curated record. The transcript is spliced from 34 exons. Lineage: Eukaryota; Metazoa; Chordata; Aves; Accipitriformes; Accipitridae.
CGUAUGAAGCUUGGUAAUAUCUCAGUGACAUCCCUGAUACGAGCCCCUGAUGAUGUUCUGACACCGAAUAUAGAGAACAGUAAUUUUCCCUACCAAGUACCUACCUUCCAUAAGUGUGAAAUCUGUUUGCUGUCUUUUCCAAAAGAGACCCAGUUCCAGCGCCAUAUGAGGGAUCAUGAGCAAAAUGACAAGCCUCACCGAUGUGACCAGUGUCCGAUGUCAUUUAAUGUUGAAUUCAACUUGACACUUCAUAAAUGUACUCACAAUGGUGAAGAUCCUACAUGUCCCGUGUGCAACAAGAAAUUCUCCAGAGUAGCCAGUCUGAAAGCUCAUAUAAUGCUACAUGAGAAAGAAGAGAAUCUUAUCUGUUCAGAGUGUGGAGAUGAAUUUACUUUACAGAGUCAGCUGUCCAUACACAUGGAAGAACAUCGUCAAGAAUUGGCAGGCAGUAGGAUCCACAGCUGCAAGUCUUGCAAAAAGGAAUUUGAAACUUCCUCACAGCUAAAGGAGCAUAUGAAAACUCACUAUAAAAUAAGGGUAUCAAAUACCAGAUCUUACAACAGAAAUAUUGAUAGAAGUGGGUUUACCUAUUCCUGUCCUCACUGUGGGAAGACGUUCCAGAAGCCAAGUCAGUUAACACGACAUGUUAGGAUACACACAGGUGAAAGACCUUUCAAAUGCAGUGAAUGUGGAAAAGCCUUUAACCAGAAGGGGGCAUUGCAGACCCAUAUGAUCAAGCACACUGGUGAAAAACCCCAUGCUUGUGCCUUUUGUCCUGCAGCCUUUUCUCAGAAAGGCAAUCUUCAGUCACACAUACAGAGAGUUCAUUCAGAGGUGAAGAAUGGCCCUACAUACAACUGUACAGAAUGUAGCUGUGUCUUCAAAAGCUUGGGUAGUUUAAAUACACAUAUCAGCAAGAUGCACAUGGGUGGUCCACAGAAUUCUGCGAGCGCUUCAACAGAUGUAUCUCAUGUUACGGCAGACUCUGUCACCCAACCUUUAACAACAUCCCCUGCUAAUCUUUUGCAACCUGUUGAUAACAAAUGGAAGAAUGCCACACAUUUUCGGUCUCCACUUCUUCAACAGACAGAAAACCAGGUGUCGUCAGCUACUGCUCAUCAGGGUCAGCAGGCUGUAACUGAUGUCAUCCAGCAGCUCCUUGAGUUAUCAGAACCAGGUCCUGUAGAAAAUAACCAGCCUCAACAACCUGGUCAACAGCUCAACAUUGCAGUGGGAAUCAAUAGAGAUAUUUUGCAGCAAGCUUUAGAGAACAGUGGGUUGUCUUCGAUUCCCGUCUCUGCACAUUCUACUGAGUGCAGCCAGGCUAAGACUCCUGGGGCUCAGGAUCAGAACCCAGACGUCCAGACUCUCUCAAAUCAUCAGGCUGACUCUAAUAAUGCAGAACAAGAUAAGGAGCAAGAGAGUACAGAUAAACUGGAUAAAAAAGAAAAAAAGGUUAUUAAGAAAAAAUCACCGUUUUUACCUGGUUCUAUACGUGAAGAAAAUGGAAUAAGGUGGCAUGUUUGUCCAUAUUGCUCUAAAGAAUUUAAAAAACCAAGUGAUCUAGUGCGUCACAUUCGCAUUCAUACCCAUGAGAAGCCGUUCAAGUGUCCGCAGUGUUUCCGCGCCUUUGCUGUUAAGAGUACUCUCACAGCUCACAUAAAAACACAUACUGGCAUUAAAGCUUUCAAGUGCCAAUUUUGUAUGAAAUGCUUUUCCACCUCAGGGAGUUUAAAAGUUCACAUUCGUCUACAUACAGGUGUUAGGCCUUUUGCUUGUCCUCACUGUGACAAAAAGUUUAGAACGUCGGGCCACCGGAAAACACAUAUUGCUUCACAUUUUAAACAUACUGAACUAAGAAAGCUGAGACAUCAACGUAAACCUGCAAAAGUUCGAGUAGGAAAGACGAGUGUUCCAGUACCAGACAUUCCCUUGCAAGAGCCCAUACUCAUAACUGAUUUAGGUCUUAUCCAGCCAAUCCCAAGGAAUAGCCAGUUCUUCCAAAAUUAUUUUAACAAUAAUUUUGUGAAUGAUGCAGACAGACCAUACAAAUGUUUUUAUUGCCAUCGAGCCUAUAAAAAAUCUUGUCAUCUUAAACAACACAUCAGGUCACAUACUGGUGAAAAGCCAUUUAAGUGCUCUCAGUGUGGAAGAGGUUUUGUGUCAGCUGGAGUUCUGAAAGCACAUAUUAGAACACACACUGGAUUGAAAGCUUUUAAGUGUCUUAUAUGCAACGGGGCCUUCACUACUGGUGGUAGCCUCAGGCGACAUAUGGGGAUCCAUAAUGACCUUCGACCGUAUAUGUGUCCAUAUUGUCAAAAAACAUUCAAGACAUCACUAAACUGUAAAAAACACAUGAAGACUCAUAGAUACGAACUUGCACAGCAACUUCAGCAGCAUCAGCAGUCUGCUUCAAUAGAUGACUCUACAGUAGAUCAGCAGAGCAUUCAUGUUUCUACACAGAUGCAAGUGGAGAUUGAAAGUGAUGAGCUACAGCAGUCAGAAGCUGUUACAACAGAUCAGCAGGCUAUUUUAGAGUUAGACCAGCAGCCAGUAGUAGGCACAGAAGAAACAGCACUAGAACAACAAUUGGCUGAUCAGCCUUUAGAGCAAGAUGAGGAUAGAUUUGUGACAUCCCAGCAUGCUUUACAGGAGAACAUCACUCAAUUUGAACAACAAGCUAUAACACAGCAGCCAUUUGAUCAACAGGGCUUAUCACAAGGUUUUACAGUAAAUGACAGCUACAAUCAACAGACUCAAUUUCCAGCUGUACAGCAGCUGCAGGAUUCAAGCACACUUGAAUCUCAGGCUCUUUCAACGAGUUACCAUCCACCAGCUCUUCUUCAGGUUCCAAAUACAGACACUAUUAACGUAACUACUCGCUUGAUACAAGAUCAGUCAUCACAAGAAGAGCUUGAAUUGCAUACCCAACGGCCUCAUUUUCUUGAGGAUAACGAAGAUCAAAGCAGGCGUUCAUAUAGGUGUGAAUAUUGCAACAAGGGUUUUAAGAAAUCCAGCCAUUUGAAACAACAUGUACGAUCUCAUACUGGUGAGAAACCUUAUAAAUGCCAACUCUGUGGUCGUGGCUUUGUUUCGUCAGGAGUUCUUAAGUCACAUGAGAAGACUCAUACAGGAGUUAAAGCAUUCAGCUGUAGCAUUUGCAAUACCUCCUUCACAACUAAUGGCAGCCUUACCAGGCAUAUGGCAACUCACAUGAGCAUGAAGCCUUACAAGUGCCCAUUCUGUGAUGAAAGCUUUCGAACAACUGUUCACUGCAAAAAACAUAUGAAAAAACAUCAGGCAGUCUCCUCAGCUGUAGCAGCAGCUACAGAAUCAGGAGGGGGAGUUGCAUGUGUUGAAGAUGAUGAUGAAAAUUCUGAAAGAACUUCCAGAAAAUCUCGUCCUGGUGUCAUAACUUUUACAGAAGAAGAAACAGCAGAACUGGCAAAGAUCAGGCCUCGAGAAAGUGCCACUGUCUCAGAAAAAGUUCUUGUCCAGUCUGCUGCAGAGAAAGACAGAAUUAGUGAGAUCAAAGAUAAGCAAGCAGAACUUGAAGCAGAGCCCAAAUAUGCUAACUGUUGUAGUUAUUGCCCCAAAAGCUUUAAAAAACCCAGUGAUUUAGUCAGGCAUGUUCGUAUCCAUACUGGAGAGAAGCCAUAUAAGUGUGAAGAAUGUGGAAAGAGUUUCACCGUAAAAUCCACUCUGGAUUGUCAUGUUAAAACGCACACAGGCCAGAAGCUCUUCAGUUGUCAUGUAUGCAGUAAUUCUUUUUCUACAAAAGGGAGUCUAAAAGUCCACAUGCGUCUGCAUACAGGAGCAAAGCCCUUUAAAUGUCCACACUGUGAUUUACGGUUUCGUACGUCAGGGCGCAGAAAAACCCACAUACAGUGUCAUUAUAAACCAGAGACAAAGAAAGUUAGGAAGCCUGUCUCCCGUACUUCAGCUGAGGGACUACAGCCAGUCAGUCUUCUUAAUUCAUCCUCAACAGACCCUAAUGUUUUCAUCAUGAAUAACUCCGUUUUGACGAGUCAGUUUGAUCAAAAUUUACUUCAGCAAGGACUUGUGGGCCAGGCUAUCCUGCCUGCUUCAGUGUCAGCUGGAGGUGACUUAACUGUGUCCUUGACAGAUGGUAGCUUGGCCACUCUUGAAGGAAUACAGUUACAACUUGCUGCUAAUCUGGUUGGACAAAAUGUUCAAAUUUCUGGAAUAGAUGCCACCAGUAUUAACAACAUAACAUUACAGAUCGAUCCAAGUAUUCUACAGCAGACAUUACAGCAGAGUAAUUUACUUGCUCAGCAGCUAACUGGAGAUCCCAGUAUGGCUCCACAGAAUCCCUCCCUCCAGGCAACAGAAAAUGCAGUGCCAGCUAAUGUGGUUAUUCAGCCUAUAUCAGGCCUCUCUUUGCAGCCCACAGUAACAUCAUCUGCUAACAUGACAAUAGGAUCCCUAUCUGAGCAAGAGUCUGUGCUGACGACCAGUGCUAGUGGUGCACAGGACAUCUCUCAAGUCAUGACUUCACAGGGUAUGGUAUCAUCUUCAAAUGGACAACAUGAGAUAAUGUUGACCAUAAAUAAUUCCAGUUUGAGUCAAGUUCUAGCUCAUGCUUCGGGUUCUACUACUACAAGCUCAUCAGGAAGUCCUCAAGAAAUCACUCUUACAAUAUCUGGCCAAGAUCUUAUUCAGCAUAAUUCUGGAAGCAGUGAUCUGAAUAGUGGUUUAAGGCUGACAGCGCCAACCAUCAGCAGUCAGACUACAGGUGCUACAUUAACUAUAAGCAACGACCAGCUUCUUUCUCAAGGCACUUCACUAAAUGCUCCAGAACUUAAUACAACAGGUGGAACAAACCUUCCUCCAACAACACCCAUAUCUCAGUCUACAGUUUCUGCUCAGAAUUUGGUAAUGUCUUCAUCAGGAGUUGGAGGAGAUGGUAGUGUCACCUUGACUCUUGCUGACACUCAGGGAAUGUUGUCAGGUGGUCUUGAUGCAGUUACACUUAAUAUCACUUCACAGGGUCAGCAGUUCCCUGCUAUACUCGCAGAUUCCAGUCUUGCUAGCCAAAGUGGGUCAGGCUCACAGCAAGUCAUACUGGUGAGCCAUACACCCCAUUCAGCAUCUGCAAACUCUGAUGAAAUAACGUAUCAGGUGACAGAGGUUUCUCCUAAUGUGACUAAAAGCAGUCAAGCAGAAAAAGAAGGUCGCGUGCACCAGUGUUUUGAGUGUAGUCAAACCUUUUCUUCAGCCACCAUGUUGAUGCACCAUAGUAAAGAGGUUCAUGGCAAGGAAAGAAUACAUGUUUGCCAUGUCUGCAAUAAAGCCUUUAAGCGGGCAACACAUCUCAAGGAAAAGUAUAAGGGAUUGGCAGAUCAGUGGAACAGAACUGCAUCACAAACUGUUUCUUCAGAGAAAGGAACACAUGCAAACCCAUCAGGCUGGACCUUCACUGAGUUCCCAGAAGCCUAGAGUGUUUAAGUGUGAUACUUGUGAAAAAGCUUUCGCUAAGCCAAGUCAGCUGGAGAGACACAGUCGCAUUCACACAGGGGAACGGCCAUUUCAGUGUACACUAUGUGAAAAGGCUUUUAACCAGAAGAGUGCUCUUCAAGUCCACAUGAAAAAGCACACAGGAGAGAGGCCUUAUAAAUGUGAUUACUGUGCAAUGGGAUUUACACAGAAAAGCAAUAUGAAACUGCAUAUGAAACGGGCUCAUGGUUACACUGGUCCUGUACAAGAGCCUACUAGUCAUCAAGAACAAGAAGGGGAAGAUAUUAGUCGUGCUCUGAAUUUAGAAGAAGUGGUACAAGAAUCUUCAAAUGAAUGGCAAAGUAUAGGCAGUGUUUUUCGAUGACACCUUAAAGUUUGAAAGCUAAAAAUGUUUCUGGGACUCGAAUUUCUUGAAACAAGUUUUCAGAAAAGUAACAGAUGGAUUUUACAGUUACAGCUUCAAGCAUUGAAAAUAUUAACAUAAGAAUAAUAUAUUAUAGUUUUUUUAAUUAUUUACAAGAAUUACCUAAAAGCAUCAUUCUUUUUUAAGCUUGUAGAAGAAUAUUGGGAAAACAUCAUUUAAUCUGUGCUAAGUUGUCUGUGAAUCAAUGAACUCAGGUAAUACUGUAUACAGUUUCAUCUUCUAAUUCACAGCCAGUAUAUCAAUUUGAAAAAUAAACUGGAACUUUAUAUCAGAAUAGAAUGAUUCCCAUUUUUAAAGGAGGUGAAGAAUAACUUCGUGGGAAAACCAUGAAACUGUUGGUCAGCUUUCUUUUUUACAUGUUUAAAAAAAUAAUUGAGGUUGGAAACAAAAUGUUACAGAGGAGAUGCAUGCAGUAUAAAAUAGUUUUGGUGGUUUUUUUGGUUUUUUGGGUUUUUUUUACAAGGCACAGGAGAACUCUGUAUUUCUGUUUUAAGCUUUUUUUAGUACAUUUUGAGAAUUUGUUGAAAAAAAUAAAAUGCCAUGAACUUAAUGGCUUUUCUUGAGUUAAACUCUUGAGAGGGAGCAUGUUCAUUUCCAUUCCAACCGCAGAGGCAGUUAGUUGUUAGUUUUUACAUUAAAAGUCUGAGGUUUUAAACUCGGCAAUAAUUAUUUAAAGAGAAUCCAAACUAGAAGAGGUUCCAAUGAAAGCCUCUUCUUUAUGUUUGCUGUUUUGGAUCAGCAGGUACAUAUCUUAGUAUCUGUGGAAAACACAGCCAUAUACUAAAUCUGGGAAGUAAACAUACACUUUUGUGUUAGCAGUGAGAAAGUUAGAUGCACGCUAGGUCACCUAUGUUAUACAAUAUUCCCCAGUGCUGUAAACAGUUAUCAUUUCAAAUCUGUAAAUUCCUCAUUAUUUUCUUUGUGAAUUUUGGAAAUAUGUUACUUUUAUUUGUUGUUGUUUAAGUCAUUGUUUCAGAAAAACUACCUAGUUGACUAAGUAAUGCUUUGAAAGGUGCCACUUGUUAAGUAUAUUCAUAACAAAGAAACACUGGAGUAAAAACAUAGUCAUCUUUUAGACAUUCCAAAGACAGAAGCUCUUUUCUUAUUUUUACCUUGUUCUUUUGAAUUUUAUUUAUAUGUUACAUAUAUAUAGAUAUAUAUAUAUGUGUGCUUGUAUGUAUAUAUAUAUUUAAAGUUAUAUGAGCCUCUGUGUGGCCGAUCAGUAUAUUUUGUAAAUACUAAACCCAGUUGCAGGAAGUUCAUCUUUUCGGUUUGCCACAAGUACUUCUAGAUCAGUGGUGGAUUUGUUGUACUAUAAUACAGAGCUGGAUUUUAAUUUACCUUCUGAAAGAUAAUUGCUCUCAGAUCCAAAAAGCCCAUUUCUGUAAAUAUUGUCUAUACUUUCUCUAUGAUACAAACUAGUUAUUUCAGAUUGCUGAAGCAAGAAAUCACUGUUGGUUUUGAUAGGGCAUCUCUUAAUUCUUUUGUUAACUCUUUGGCAUAUGUAUAUAAGUAAUAUAGUUGGUGACAUGAAAAUAACACUUUUGUUAUGUGGAAUAUUUAAUUCAGAAACAUGUUAAAUAAUACUACUUUUUUCCAAA